GACGAACGCUGGCGGCGUGCUUAACACAUGCAAGUCGAACGGAAAGGCCCUGCUUUUGUGGGGUGCUCGAGUGGCGAACGGGUGAGUAACACGUGAGUAACCUGCCCUUGACUUUGGGAUAACUUCAGGAAACUGGGGCUAAUACCGGAUAGGAGCUCCUGCUGCAUGGUGGGGGUUGGAAAGUUUCGGCGGUUGGGGAUGGACUCGCGGCUUAUCAGCUUGUUGGUGGGGUAGUGGCUUACCAAGGCUUUGACGGGUAGCCGGCCUGAGAGGGUGACCGGCCACAUUGGGACUGAGAUACGGCCCAGACUCCUACGGGAGGCAGCAGUGGGGAAUAUUGCACAAUGGGCGGAAGCCUGAUGCAGCAACGCCGCGUGCGGGAUGACGGCCUUCGGGUUGUAAACCGCUUUCGCCUGUGACGAAGCGUGAGUGACGGUAAUGGGUAAAGAAGCACCGGCUAACUACGUGCCAGCAGCCGCGGUGAUACGUAGGGUGCGAGCGUUGUCCGGAUUUAUUGGGCGUAAAGGGCUCGUAGGUGGUUGAUCGCGUCGGAAGUGUAAUCUUGGGGCUUAACCCUGAGCGUGCUUUCGAUACGGGUUGACUUGAGGAAGGUAGGGGAGAAUGGAAUUCCUGGUGGAGCGGUGGAAUGCGCAGAUAUCAGGAGGAACACCAGUGGCGAAGGCGGUUCUCUGGGCCUUUCCUGACGCUGAGGGGCGAAAGCGUGGGGAGCGAACAGGCUUAGAUACCCUGGUAGUCCACGCUGUAAACGGUGGGUACUAGGUGUGGGGUCCAUUCCACGGGUUCCGUGCCGUAGCUAACGCUUUAAGUACCCCGCCUGGGGAGUACGGCCGCAAGGCUAAAACUCAAAGGAAUUGACGGGGCCCCGCACAAGCGGCGGAGCAUGCGGAUUAAUUCGAUGCAACGCGUAGAACCUUACCUGGGUUUGACAUGGAUCGGGAGUGCUCAGAGAUGGGUGUGCCUCUUUUGGGGUCGGUUCACAGGUGGUGCAUGGCUGUCGUCAGCUCGUGUCGUGAGAUGUUGGGUUAAGUCCCGCAACGAGCGCAACCCUUGUUCACUGUUGCCAGCACGUUAUGGUGGGGACUCAGUGGAGACCGCCGGGGUCAACUCGGAGGAAGGUGGGGAUGACGUCAAGUCAUCAUGCCCCUUAUGUCCAGGGCUUCACGCAUGCUACAAUGGCUGGUACAGAGAGUGGCGAGCCUGUGAGGGUGAGCGAAUCUCGGAAAGCCGGUCUCAGUUCGGAUUGGGGUCUGCAACUCGACCUCAUGAAGUCGGAGUCGCUAGUAAUCGCAGAUCAGCAACGCUGCGGUGAAUACGUUCCCGGGGCU
RNAcentral lists this ribosomal RNA (1346 nucleotides) under uncultured bacterium. RNAcentral's name for it is "partial 16S ribosomal RNA". It matches the Rfam family "Bacterial small subunit ribosomal RNA", at positions 28 to 1381 of the family's 1533-position model. The record is from RNAcentral.